This 253-nucleotide ribosomal RNA is filed under the name uncultured bacterium. RNAcentral's name for it is "partial 16S ribosomal RNA". It matches the Rfam family "Bacterial small subunit ribosomal RNA", at positions 524 to 776 of the family's 1533-position model. The record is from RNAcentral.
UACGGAGGGGGCUAGCGUUGUUCGGAAUUACUGGGCGUAAAGCGUACGUAGGCGGCUUUGUAAGUUAGAGGUGAAAGCCCGGGGCUCAACUCCGGAAUUGCCUUUAAGACUGCAUCGCUUGAAUCAUGGAGAGGUGAGUGGAAUUCCGAGUGUAGAGGUGAAAUUCGUAGAUAUUCGGAAGAACACCAGUGGCGAAGGCGACUCACUGGUCCAGCACUGACGCUGAGGUGCGAAAGCGUGGGGAGCAAACAGG